This 407-nucleotide ribosomal RNA is filed under the name uncultured bacterium. Its description in RNAcentral is "partial 16S ribosomal RNA". It matches the Rfam family "Bacterial small subunit ribosomal RNA", at positions 28 to 526 of the family's 1533-position model. The record is from RNAcentral.
GACGAACGCUGGCGGCGUGCCUAAUACAUGCACGUAGGACGCAGUUGCGAACGGGUGAGUAACGCGUAGGUAACUGCCUAUUAGAGGGGGAUAACUAUUGGAAACGAUAGCUAAUACCGCAUACUAGUAGAUGGACCUGCGUUGUAUUAGCUAGUAGGUAGAGUAAUGGACUACCUAGGCAACGAUACAUAGCCGACCUGAGAGGGUGAGCGGCCAACCUGUGACUAGGACACGGCCCAGACUCCUACGGUAGGUAUCAGUAGGGAAUCGUCGGCCAUGGGCGGCACCCUGAUCGAGGACCGCCGCGUGAGUGAAGAAGUUUUUUGGUGCGUAAAGCUCGAUUGUUAAGGAAGCGGUACUUAACCAGAACGGGACUGCUAACUACGUGGCAGCAGCCGCGGUAAUUC